CGCAUGCAUAUAGAAAUAAUACAAUAAAAUACUAAUUAGCUGCUAUGAAUAAAUGCAAUGCGUCUUAAACCUUGUCUAUUAUGAAAAUGCACGUAAGUUUAACCGUGCCUUCUAAAUCGUGACAAGGUAGUACUAUAUGUUACGAAAAAGUAGAAUAAUUAAGUAGACCCUAUGGCGCGGCGGCCGCGCACUACUUGCUAGUAGCAUCUAUGCGUGCAUUGCAAGAG
Molecule: long non-coding RNA, 227 nt
Filed under: Hordeum vulgare
Lineage: Eukaryota; Viridiplantae; Streptophyta; Magnoliopsida; Poales; Poaceae
Description: long non-coding RNA (HVUL_LNC016375)
Source: RNAcentral